UUGUUGUUGUUUUGAGACAGAGUCUCACUGUCACCCAGGUUUGAGUGCCAUGGCACGAUCUUGGCUCACUGUAACCUCCACCUCCCGGGUUCAAGCGAUUCUCCUGCCUCAGACCCAAGUAGCUGAGAUUGCAGACGUGCGCCACCAAGCUCGGUUAAGUUUUGUAUUUUUAGUAGAGACAGGGUCUCACUAUGUUGGCCAGGCUGGUCUCAAACUCCUGACCUCAGGUGAUCGGCCCGCCUCGGCCUCCCAAAGUGCUGGGAUUACAGGCAUGAGCCAAUACGCCCGGCCUAUUUUUGAGAUUUUCUGCUGCUACUCCAGCUUAGCCUGACAGAGCUUUCACUUUUUGUUCCUACCCCUUCGUGUGCAUCUGAACAAUCCACAAGCCUCACGAACUCCUGUGGCUUCCCUCCCUUCGAGCUGUAUCCACCAUGACCUCUUGACCAGGGCUGAGGGAGAAGGAGGAGGGUCGUGCCACUAUCCUAGCACCCUCUGUCAAGAGCCACAGUCAUCAGAACCAUGGAGUGACUGACUGGGUGCUGCAAAAUGCUUAGAAUGUCACCAGAAGCAAUGAGAGGAUGUCCAAAUACAGUGGUACUGGGAAUUCCAGUCCUUGGAGUCUAUCAUGAUAAUUUGUCAUGCUGUUUUAUCUUAAGAGUGGCUCAAGAAAACGGACUUGCAAGGAAGCCCAAAAGGCAGGUACCUUAGAGAAAUCAGAUAAGCUUCACAAAAAUAAGAAAUAAUUUCAUGAGUUAAUAAUGAAACAGAGAAAAUGACAACAAAAUUAAUAAUUCAUUGGUCAUUAUGGGAGAAAAUCAGAAAACCAACCACUUAUGUUGAAAGCUAGCAAAUAAAGGAAGAUAAUUAAGUAUUUAACCUGGCUUUCUUAUAUGAUAAGUUCCUCAGAACAUCCAAAUAGGAGUAGAUUCUAUUUAUUGAAUUAUCCCAGCUUAUGAGUAAAGAAGAUAAAAUAGAAUUUAAAAAUUAUUAUUUUGUAGUGCCUUAUGAAUUAACGGAUCUAGACAAUAAUUGUCAGGGGUUGUUAUCAUCGUAAAAAUAAAGAUCAUACAUCAUGUGACCCAGUGAAAGCAAACAAUGCUACCUAUAAAGUGUUCUAGCUAAAACAUCAAGCUAAAUCUGAUCAAGUCUCUCUGUAUAAUUGUUAAUGUAUGGUAAAUAAAGAGGAGAAUAUAUUAAAUGACACUAUGAAAAUGCAGUCAGAAAAUACAGACUAUGAGAAACUCUGUGAGACAAAUGGCCGAAUGUCCUGAACAAAUACAUUUCAAAAAGGAGGAAGAGAAGGAAAAGAAGAAAGGAAAGCAAAAUCAUAGGAAAUAUGGUAGAGUUUACAGAAAUGUGUUGCUUCAAUGAGUGGCAAAAACAGCACUAGACUAAACAAUACUUUGGUCCUGCCUAACAAAGCUUAAACAACAAGAUCUGAAAAGAUCAAACUGUUUGCAACUAAUUUAACUGUGUCCCAGAAGAAAACUCAAGAAUAUUUACAGAAAUAUAAAAAUGUCUAGGAUCCAACAAGGUAAAAUUCAUAAUAUUUGACAUUUGAUCAAAAUUACCAGCCGUGCAAAGAUGCUGUAAAAUAUGACCCAUAACGAGGGAAAAAAAUCAAUCAAUUGAAACCAACCCAGAGUGGACACAAAUGUUACAAUUAAUCAAUAAGGAUAUUUUAAAAGUUGCUAUAACUCUAUUCCAUAUGUUCUAGAAGUUAGAGAAAGACUGAUCAUGUUCAAUAGAGCAAUGGAAAAUAUUAAAAAGACUCAAUUCAAACUUCUAGAGAUAAAAACUACAAUGUAUGAGGUGAAAAAUAUUCUGAAUGGGACUAACAGAUAGGCACUACAAAAGAAACGAUUAGUGAUCUUGAAGAUGUAGCAAUAGAAACUAUUCACAAUGAAACACAGAAAAGACUGGGAAAAAACAACCCACAGAAUCAGUGAGCUGUGGGACAACUACAAAUGGGCUAAUAUAUGUGUAAUUAGCAUUCCAAGAGGAGAAGAGACAGAAGGAGAUACAGAAAAAAGUUUUUGAAUAAAUAAUGCUGAACAAUUUCAAAUUUGAUGAAAACUAUAUACUCACAAAUACAAGAUUCCCAAUCAACUCCAAGCACAAGAAGCCUGAAGAAAACUACAUCAAUUCACAUCAUAAUCAAAUUGCUUAAAACAAGUAAUAAUGAGAAAAAUAAAAGGCACGAAUAUGUUAUGAGUAAAAGGAUGGAAAAAGACAUAGCACACUAACAUCAAUCAAAAGAAAGCUGGAGUGAUUCUAUUAGCAUCAAAAAAGAAGUGGAUUUCAGGACAAAGAAUAUUAUUAGGGACAAUAAGGGUAAUUUUAUAAUGAUAAAUGUGUCAAUUCAUCAAGAGAAUAUAACAAUCAUAAACAUUUCUGUACCUAAUAACAGAAAUUCAAAAUACAUGAAGCAAUAUCUGAUAGAACUUCAAGAAGCAACAGAAGUUCACAAUUAAUGUCAGAGAUACCAAUAAUUGAUAAAACAAGUAGAAAAAAGUUAAUAAAGAGAGAGAAAAAGUAAAAAGCUGUCACAACUAAAUCUAAUUGAAAUGUAUAAAAUACUCAGCCCAACAAUGGCAGAAUACAUAUUCUUUUCAAAUAUACAUAGAACAUUUACCAAAAUAGACCAAAUUCUGGGUUAUGAAACAUGGAUCAGCAAAUAUAAAGGGAUUCAAGUCAUACAAAGUAUGGUCUCUGGCCAAAAUGAUAUCAAAUUAGAAAUCAAAAUUAGAAAAGUAUCUAGAAAAAUUCCCACAUAUAAAAACUAAAUAACACUCUUCUAAUAACCCAUAUAUAAAAGAAAAAAUAAAAAGGGAAAUUAGCAAGUAAUUUAAAGCAAAUAAACAUGAAAGCACAACAUAGCAAAGAUUGUGAAAUGUAACUAAAGAAGUACUUAGAGGGAAAUUUAUAGUUCUAAACUCCUAUAAUAAAAAGUUAGAAAAUCACAAAUUAAUAAUCUCAGCUUCCAAAUAAAGAAAAAAAAAUUUCAAGUUAAUGACCCAAGUUUCUAGCUUAAGAAACUAGAAGGAGCAGACUAAAUAUAAAUUUAAUAGAAGAAAAUGAAUAAUAAUGUUCAGAAUAAAAAUCACUGAAAUAAAAACAGAAAAGUAAUAAAGAAAAAUCAAUGAAACUAAAAACUGGUUCUUUGAGAAAUCAAUAAAAUUGAUGAAUUUUUAGCCAGACCCAUGAGAAAGAAAAAAUAAAGACAAAAAUUACCAAUAUCAGAAAUAAGAGAAGUGACAUCAUCCUGUACUAUGCAGAUAUUAAAAGCAUAUUAAGGAAAUAUCAUGAAAAAUUAUCUGGCUAUAAAUUUGGUGAAUUUGAUGAGAUGAAUAAAAUCACUGAAAGACACAAACUACCAAGGUUCCUUCAAAAAGAAAUAGAUAAUCUGAAAAAAUAACCUUGCAUCUACUAAAAAAUAGAAUACAUAGUUUAAAAUCUUCCCACAAAGAAAACUCUAAGCAAAAAUGGCUUCACUGGUAAAUCUUGCCAAACAUUUAAGAAAAAAUAAGUCUAUACUAACACUUUCUGAAAAUUGAAAAGGUAAACCCUUUUCAACUUUAUGAGGCCAGGAUUAUGCUAGUAUCAAAGUGACACAGAUAUUACAAGAAAACCGUAGACUAACAUCUAACAUAUGUAGAUGCAAAAUUUUUAGGCAAAAUUUUAGCAAAUUAAAUCUAGUGAUGUAUGAAAGAAAUAAUAUAUUAUUGCCAAGUAGAGUGCAUCCCAGAAAUGCAAGAUUGGUUUAACUUUGAAAAUCAAUGUAAUUCAUUGUUUCAAUUGUCCAAAAAUUAAAAAUCAUACAAUCCUGUCAAUAGAUGUGUUAAAAAGGCAUUGAUCUAAAUGUGAUAUUUAAAAUGAGGAAACUUCUAAAUGUAAAAUUUUUUCAUGACCUUUGUGUUAAAUAAAGAUUUCUUCAAUAUGACACCAAAACAUGGUCCAUUAAAGAAAAAACUAUUAUAUUGUACUUCAUAAAAUGUAAAAUCUCUUCAAAAGACACUAAGAUAAUAAGAAGGUGUCAUAGAUAUCUGUCAUCCAGGUUGGAGUGCAGUGGUGCGGUCUUGGCUCACUGCAACCUCCACCUCCUGGGUUCAAGAGAUUCUCCUGUCUCAGUCUCCCGAGUAGCUGGGACUACAGGCAUGCGCCACCGCGCCUGGCUAAUUUUUGUAUUUUUUCUUGAGAUGGGGUUUUGCCAUGUUGGUCAGGUUGGUCUCGAACUCCUGACCUCAGGUGAUCCACCCAUCUCGGCCUCCCAAAGUGCUGGGAUUGUAGGCGUAAGCUACCGUACCUGGCCAAAUUCUUAUAUAUUCUCCCUUGUAUACAAAUAUAUUAAUGUUAAAUAUAGUCAUAAGAAUUCUGCAUGCUCAGAAACAUUCUGAUCUUAUGAUUUUUAUGCCCUCAAGUCUCCCCUCUCCCUGCUACUUGAUCUUUAUUUCCAGAAGUGGGAAUUAGGAACAGAAACGAACACAACAGUCCUCAACACAAAAGCUUCUUUCUUAUGAAGACAAAACAAAGCCAGUCAACUAAAACUAAAUAAAUAAAAGAAAAAACUAAUUCAACAACUUGGUCAUUGACAAAUUCAUCAUUUGGCAAUUGUUCUGGAGCAGGCACAUGGACAGUUUUUUAAGUAUAUUAAAGGAAAGGAGGAAUGGGGUGGGAGGAAAAGGAAAGGAAUGAAGGAAGGAAAAGGAAGGAAAGCACGAGGUCUCAGCCAUUUGACGAAUAUCCAUCAAGUGCAAAUCCAUACCCUCAAAAUGUGGCAAUUAUUUAUUUCAUCACCUUUAUCAAAUAGUAAUGAGUGACACAAUGUUGCCUAUGAACAGGAAUAAAAAAGAAUAAAUGGAAAGGAGGUGGAUAGGACCAGUUGCUCACCAUGAGCAUUUUAUUUUUAUAUCUGAAUUUUGAACUAUCUAAAACCUAGAAAUGUUCAAUAGUGGGCUGGUGAUAUGAAUGUCAAAAGAGUUGUACUGUUAUCUGCAGCCAGUAAUCAUAAAGUUCCAUGCAAAUGAACUGCAAGUGAAAUAGAUAUUGAUCAUCUCUAGCUGACAACAUGUGAUCCAGUAACUACUUCCGGGUUAUACCAGAGUUCAUCUUUAAGUUUUUCUUUCUGGUGAUACAAAACAACACCCACCAAGGAUAACUCAAAUAUAAUCCAGGUAAUGAGAUUUGGUAAUAUAGUACAUAAGUAUUCCAUCAUUGGAAUUGCAAUAUUUCCCCAACCCAAAUACUCCUAUUAAACCUACCAGGGAA
RNAcentral lists this long non-coding RNA (5268 nucleotides) under Homo sapiens (human). Its description in RNAcentral is "HSALNT0190931". The record is from RNAcentral. Lineage: Eukaryota; Metazoa; Chordata; Mammalia; Primates; Hominidae.